AAACAAGUUAGAUAUGGACAAGAUGUAAUUUCUUCUGUCAAGGAACUCAUGGGAUAACAGCCUCCCUUUUGAUGAGAAGAAUAAGCCUCAUUCUGAUUCAACAGCAGAGAUCAAAGAAAAGACUUCUGUUUGCUGGCCAUCAGAUACAUGUUAUCUGUGUUUAAAGAACUGAAAAACACACAUCAAAGGAACAUUCUCUUGGAAAGAGAGAAGUUUCAGAGGGAUGCUGGUGAUUUGGUGAGAAGGAAGCAAGUAUUUCUGUGAUUUAAUUUCAACGUAAGCAUUGAAGAGGCUACCCUUCACCCUUUUACUACUGUUGAUAACUCCAUGUUUCCAAGAGCUAAUGGGUUGAAGAACUUAGCACUUGUGAUGGAUUAGUCAAGCAAAAAUUAUGAAGUAA
Long non-coding RNA from Saimiri boliviensis boliviensis (Bolivian squirrel monkey), 400 nucleotides. RefSeq lists it as uncharacterized. Lineage: Eukaryota; Metazoa; Chordata; Mammalia; Primates; Cebidae. The record is from RefSeq and is a predicted model, not a curated record.